GUAAGGGUGUGAUGUCUAUUCAAAAACAAAACAGGCUGUUUUAAAUCACCCAUAUUGAAGUAAUGUAGAACAAUUAGACACCCUAUAACCCACACCUACACACUCAUGUAUCAAUCUGAUUGAUGGAUUGUGUUGUGCUGUAAGCAGGUUCAGGUGUAUAACUGUGGCGCCUUCCACCUUCAAAGAAUAGGCAAGAGGGCCAACCAUGGAGAAUAGUAAGUCACUUCAUUAUUUCUAUAACUACGCUAUAAUUGUUUGUCCUUGUGGGUCCGUUCAUGUUUUUCAGCAUAAAGUACUCUGCAGCCACUUAGUGUGGUGUGGACACCAGGUGAGGCCACACACAGAUUCCUGUUGAACACUGUGGCUUUAACUACCUUAUUUUCUCAAUAACAGUCUCUCUCCUUCACUUCAUCCCUCUCUCCUCUUCUCCCUAAAUCCUCUAGGUUAUAUCAGCUGUGUCGGUGAACCCCUCCUGCAUCUGAACUGGCUACAUGGAGGGCACAGCAUGAUCAGAGAUAUGUUUUGAUGUGAGAGGAUGCCAACCCUCAGUCCCAUCAUCGCCACCUCACCCUCUUUUAAGAUAACCUUUGGGCCGACUAGAGACACUAUUAUGUAAUUGUGAUGAACUGAGAGAAUAUUUAGGUAGCACCGUGUUUCAUUAAUUAUGUACUGCCUUCCCUGCUCCUAUGUGCUUACCUCUUUCCCUUUCUGUCUUUUACACCUCUCCCACCACCACCUCUUUCUUCCUCUGUUUUUAUAAUUCACAACAGAUGUGCAUUGAAGUACAGAUUGAACUUGUAUUUAUAACACUUGGAUAAUGAGCUUUUCAAUCAAGUGUUUCACAUUCUCUACUGGUUGAAAUGAAGUGUAAUGUGAUGAAAUACUCCACCUAUCCUGUGUUUUACCAGAUCAAUGCAGAUGAAGGGCAUUAGAUGUUGAGAUGAACCGGUGUUGGAGUAUUUACAUGAUGCAAAGGAAGUGUAGUGUUCUGUAUUUAACAUUAUAUUUCUGUUUAUAUGAAUUAACUAGUUAAAUCCUGUUUCUAGUCUAUUAGUUACAAUGUGUAACCAUUGAUGUCCCAGGACCAAGAUUGGUAAACAGUGUUGAAGUGUAGAAUUGUAAUACAUACAUGCAGACACAGCAUCAUUCAAAGACUGGAAUUUGAUACUCCUGGUAUUGGAUAUGACUGAAAAAUCAUCUCAAAGACAUUCAUACUUAAACUGCACUUUUAUUUGCCAAGAUAGAGUACAUGAUUAGUGAAUAUAUUAAAUGUACAGGCUACAAUGUGGGGAUCUCAUGCAUGGUAAUAACUACAUGUAUAUACGACUUGCAUCCUUGGCACAACAUGAUAUUAUAAUCUACUCAAUCCAUAGGCUUCAUUAAUGUCAUUCAGGCUGUUUUGAAGUUGAUACAACUGGCUAUGAUAGCUGAGGUUCAUAGCUAGGUUCUGAACUAAUAUGUAUACCAAACGUUUGGGUCCAUACACAGAUCGGCUAGAUAGCUAGCUACACAUCCAUGGGCAUACAGGGAUUUGAAUAAUCCACUGCACAAUAAGCAAGAACAUAGUUAGCUACGUUAUUUAAUCUAUCUGCAUGGCAAAUAUCAGCAAGGAAAGCUUACAAAAUUGUACAUUAAAUUUGCAGUAAAUUCUUCAGCUAGCUAGAUUCUAUACAUCCACUGUUUUCCAAAACGACAGUCUGGUUUGCUGGUUGUUUCAGGAGUCCCUAAAACAACCAGAAUUACAAUUUCAUACUCAUGUCACAACACCCAUAAAGCUAGCCAGCUAGCUGGCUAAUGUUAGCUAGUCAGCUAGCUGGCUAAAUCACGAUUUUCGUAAAUGAACUAUGAUUUAAAAAAAUGCAUAAUCGUUUGUCUCUACAUGAACUAACAUUCCUGUCAACUGUACAUGUUUUUGCAUGAUUAGUUAUGACGUUAUAAUCCC
Long non-coding RNA from Salvelinus fontinalis (brook trout), 1942 nucleotides. RefSeq lists it as uncharacterized. Lineage: Eukaryota; Metazoa; Chordata; Actinopteri; Salmoniformes; Salmonidae. The record is from RefSeq and is a predicted model, not a curated record. The transcript is spliced from 2 exons.